UGGAUAGUGGAGUGUUUCCCAUGUGGUAUUGGUGUGCUGGAUAUCCCUUCACUGGUAGCCUGGUUACACACUCCCAGGUCUUUCUCUGCCUCUGUGGUGGAUAGUGGAGUGUUUCCCAUGUGGUAUUGGUGUGCUGGAUAUCCCUUCACUGGUAGCCUGGUAACAUACACUCCCAGGUCUUUCUCUGCCUCUGUGGUGGAUAGUGGAGUGUUUCCCAUGUGGUAUUGGUGUGCUGGAUAUCCCCUCACUGGUAGCCUGGUAACAUACACUCCCAGGUCUUUCUCUGCCUCUGUGGUGGAUAGUGGAGUGUUUCCCAUGUGGUAUUGGUGUGCUGGAUAUCCCUUCACUGGUAGCCUGGUAACAUACACUCCCAGGUCUUUCUCUGCCUCUGUGGUGGAUAGUGGAGUGUUUCCCAUGUGGUAUUGGUGUGCUGGAUAUCCCUUCACUGGUAGCCUGGUAACAUACACUCCCAGGUCUUUCUCUGCCUCUGUGGUGGAUAGUGGAGUGUUUCCCAUGUGGUAUUGGUGUGCUGGAUAUCCCUUCACUGGUAGCCUGGUAACAUACACUCCCAGGUCUUUCUCUGCCUCUGUGGUGGAUAGUGGAGUGUUUCCCAUGUGGUAUUGGUGUGCUGGAUAUCCCUUCACUGGUAGCCUG
Eriocheir sinensis (Chinese mitten crab) is the source of this 654-nucleotide long non-coding RNA. RefSeq lists it as uncharacterized. The transcript is spliced from 2 exons. The record is from RefSeq and is a predicted model, not a curated record. Lineage: Eukaryota; Metazoa; Arthropoda; Malacostraca; Decapoda; Varunidae.